UACGUAGGGUGCGAGCGUUAAUCGGAAUUACUGGGCGUAAAGCGUGCGCAGGCGGUUCGUUGUGUCGGUGGUGAAAGCCCCGGGCUUAACCUGGGAAUGGCCAUGGAAACUGGCGAACUGGAGUGUGGCAGAGGGGGGUGGAAUUCCACGUGUAGCAGUGAAAUGCGUAGAGAUGUGGAGGAACACCGAUGGCGAAGGCAGCCCCCUGGGCCGACACUGACGCUCAUGCACGAAAGCGUGGGGAGCAAACAGG
Molecule: ribosomal RNA, 253 nt
Filed under: uncultured bacterium
Lineage: Bacteria
Description: partial 16S ribosomal RNA
Rfam family: Bacterial small subunit ribosomal RNA
Source: RNAcentral